AGUGAACGCUGGCGGUAGGCCUAACACAUGCAAGUCGAACGGUAGCACAGUAAGUGCUUGCUCUUACGGGUGGCGAGUGGCGUACGUGUCAGGAAUACAUCCUAAUCUACUUUUUCGUGGGGGAUAACGUAGGUAAACUUAAGCUAAUACCGGAUACGACCUACGGGUGAAAGCAGGGGAUCUUUGGACCUUGCGCGAUUGAAUGAGCCGAUUUCGGAUUAGCUAGUUGGCGGGGUAAAGGCCCACCAAGGCGACGAUCCGUAGAUGGUCUGAGAGGCUGAUCAGCCACACUGGAAGUGAGACACGGUCCAGACUCCUACGGGAGGCAGCAGUGGGGAAUGUUGGACAAUGGGCGCAAGCCUGAUCCAGCCAUCCCGCGUGGGUGAAGAAGGCCUUCGGGUUGUAAAGCCCUUUUGUUGGGAAAGAAAAGCAGCAGGUUAAUACCCCGCUGUUCUGACGGUACCCAAAGAAUAAGCACCGGCUAACUUCGUG
Molecule: ribosomal RNA, 492 nt
Filed under: uncultured bacterium
Lineage: Bacteria
Description: partial 16S ribosomal RNA
Rfam family: Bacterial small subunit ribosomal RNA
Source: RNAcentral